This 181-nucleotide long non-coding RNA is filed under the name Zonotrichia albicollis (white-throated sparrow). Its description in RNAcentral is "lncRNA (ENSZALG00000013425.1)". Lineage: Eukaryota; Metazoa; Chordata; Aves; Passeriformes; Passerellidae. The record is from RNAcentral.
UCUAUCUUGGCCUGGAUCAUAGGGUGAGGUUGUGACCAUGACUGGGCUGUUUGGCCUGGAGGAUAAAAGUCUGCAGCAUCAAACCAGCACUUGAUGGUGUCAAAGCUCAUGACAGCCUGAGGAAAAAAAUAUAGGAGACCUUGCUGUACAGCUUCUAGGACUAUUUGGUAUAGCAAUUAAG